GAGAUGAUAAAUCAAAGAUACCUAGUCGUCUCAUAGCCUACAUAGCGUCAAAUGUAGGUAACAUUUGACGCCUGCCAAUGUAAGUGAAACCUC
Maniola jurtina (meadow brown) is the source of this 93-nucleotide long non-coding RNA. RefSeq lists it as uncharacterized. NCBI's taxonomy places the organism in Eukaryota, Metazoa, Arthropoda, Insecta, Lepidoptera, Nymphalidae. The transcript is spliced from 3 exons. The record is from RefSeq and is a predicted model, not a curated record.